UUGGUGUACAGCGCAUACAGUAAGGAUGCUGCACGUGGAAUCCUUGCAUUGCUAACCACUUCACGGUACUGCAAGGAACGUGCACUGCUCUGUCAGUUCAACAUCCCAACAGCAGAGGACUGUGUGACCUUCAUCUACCAUUGAAGCAAUGUGCUGUCAGGUUCCUUUCUUAACUGUUAUGCUACAAGUGUGAACCUUGCAGAAGUUGCUAGUAUCUUGUUCAGACACAGAAGCCAGCACCAGGAGCUAAAAUGGAAUGAAAUAAUUACAUAAAUAUACACUGUGGCUUCAGUUGGUGUUAAAAAAUAUGUAAUAAGAG
Long non-coding RNA from Centrocercus urophasianus (Greater sage-grouse), 319 nucleotides. RefSeq lists it as uncharacterized. The transcript is spliced from 3 exons. NCBI's taxonomy places the organism in Eukaryota, Metazoa, Chordata, Aves, Galliformes, Phasianidae. The record is from RefSeq and is a predicted model, not a curated record.